Molecule: long non-coding RNA, 1162 nt
Filed under: Bos grunniens (domestic yak)
Lineage: Eukaryota; Metazoa; Chordata; Mammalia; Artiodactyla; Bovidae
Description: lncRNA (ENSBGRG00000005628.1)
Source: RNAcentral
GUCACCAGGAGCUGGGAGGAGGGGAAAGCCCGGAGUUACUCUUCAACUGGUUUAGAGUUUCAGCUAACAAAAUGAAAAAGAUUUCGAGAUCAGCUGUACAAGGAUGGGUCUAUGGUUAGACCAUAACAUACACUGAAAAUUUGUUUCGAGGAUAAAUUAAAAUAACACCAACAACAAAGAAAGCUGAUAAAAACAAACAAAAAGGCAUGAAGUACUGAUUCACGCUACAACAUGGGUGGGCCUCGGAGAUGCUUUGCUAGGUUAGGUGAAAGGGGCCAGACAUAGAGGACCGGGGCUCCGUGUGACUCCACCUCCAUGACCCACAGAGGCAGAAUCAGAUUAAGGAGCGGCAGAAGGGGACUACCGCACAUGGGGACUGAUUUGGGGGGAGCUGGUCGCACGUGCGUUUCCCUCUACGGCACACACAGCUCCUUAAUCUAGCAACUGUCGCCAGAACGUCAGCCCUGCGCUCAGGGACCGUUUUAAACAAUGACAUCAACACAGAGCACAAGGGGGAGAAAUAUCGCACUAGGUGGACGGAGAAAAGGCUGCUUACGGAGUGAGAGCUGAGCCCAGCCGCAGAGCGGUGUCCCGCCCGCUCUGCGCGUGUCUGCAAGAGGCUGAGCGAGAACCACGUGCUGACGUGCGGUAGCAGAUGCGCUUCUGCUGGGAGGCUGAAGCACGCACCUCUGCAGCGACUGAACUAUCGAUCCGGACAGGGACUGCAUUCCUCUUGUUCAUCUUGUAUCCUCAGCACAGUGCCAGACCCGCAGCGGAUGCUGAAUAAAUGCGUACUAACAGGGUAAGGGGAUGAACGUCAGGGCCUGAGCUCCUGUUCUGGGCUGGGGCUGGGGCUGGGGCUGGGUCAGAGAUGGUCGAGUUAGAAUAGCACAUCUAAUGCAAUGGCUACUAGCCACACAUAGCGACUUAAAUUUAACUUCAAAGUGAUGAAACUUAAAUAAAUUAAAAAAUUCAGCUCCUCUGGCUCACUAGCAAAUUUUAAGUUCUCAGCACGGACAACUGUCUCACAGUUAGGAGACGGUCCAGAUAGAGAAUGAUUCCACCAUCAGAAAGGUCUGCUGGCAGAGCUGAUGGAGAUCAGUGAUUCUCCGAGGAGGCUGACUGUCCCCCGGGGGUGUCUGGCCAUAUCUGGGGACGUUUC